RNAcentral lists this ribosomal RNA (468 nucleotides) under uncultured bacterium. Its description in RNAcentral is "partial 16S ribosomal RNA". It matches the Rfam family "Bacterial small subunit ribosomal RNA", at positions 28 to 507 of the family's 1533-position model. The record is from RNAcentral.
GACGAACGCUGGCGGCGUGCUUAACACAUGCAAGUCGAACGGAAAGGCCCUGCUUUUGUGGGGUGCUCGAGUGGCGAACGGGUGAGUAACACGUGAGUAACCUGCCCUUGACUUUGGGAUAACUUCAGGAAACUGGGGCUAAUACCGGAUAGGAGCUCCUGCUGCAUGGUGGGGGUUGGAAAGUUUCGGCGGUUGGGUAUGGACUCGCGGCUUAUCAGCUUGUUGGUGGGGUAGUGGCUUACCAAGGCUUUGACGGGUAGCCGGCCUGAGAGGGUGACCGGCCACAUUGGGACUGAGAUACGGCCCAGACUCCUACGGGAGGCAGCAGUGGGGAAUAUUGCACAAUGGGCGGAAGCCGGAUGCAGCAACGCCGCGUGCGGGAUGACGGCCUUCGGGUGGUAAACCGCUUUCGCCUGUGACGAAGCGUGAGUGACGGUAAUGGGUAAAGAAGCACCGGCUAACUACGUG